UACAAAAAUUUCAAUAUAGUAGUGGAAAGUGACAAAGUGAUGAGAAAAAUAUAAGUACAUGAUAGGUGGAAGAGGCUUAUUUCGGUUUGAAUGACAAAACAAGAGCACUUUUGCUCAUAUAAUAUUUGAUAUGGAGUAUAAGUAAAAUGAAUGUAUGUUGGAUAUUAGAUACAUAUAUUUUCUUCGAAGGUAACCCGUGUAUAUUAUAUAAUAAUAGUCUGCAACUAAACAAAUGACUUGAGUGGGGGUAUCUGCCCCCAAUGAGCCUUCAUUUGCUCCGUCCAUGCACCAUCAUUUACUUUCUCACAAGUCACACCUAAUGGAAAAUUAUUAAAGAAAAAUAAUAAUACAACAGAAAAUGACGCCUGCUCAUGAAUUAAAGAAAACUUGUGAUGUAGAAUGGUACUAAGCAACCUCACAAGAGAUGAAAAGUUGAAAACAAUUAUUUCAACAUGGUUUGAGGUAACCACAUUUAGAAAUGAAGAAGAAUUUGCACUCAAUGUAACCAGAAAAUCUGUUGUUGGGAUGCAUUUGAUGAAACGUAUGUCUCUCUUAAUCAUUCAUUUUAUCAUGUCAUCGACACACGUAUGUGACGCCUAAUAAUAAUAAAAACAUAUCGAAAAUAAUAAUUACAAGAACACUAAAAAAAAUCAUUUUGAUGCAAAAAUUAGAAGAAAUAAGUUUGGUGAAGUGUCACCAAUUAUGUGAUACUAGGCUUUCCAAAUCCCAGAUUUGCCAAACACGAUAAGAUGUCUUUGUAUCUAUAUCUGUAGUUUAUUAGUAGAACAUGCAUUAUUGUAGGGUUUCUGCAGCAGGACUUGGACCUCUCAUCUACCGGCAUACGUAAACACACAAAGGCCCACUUCCUAAACACCAUUCAUAUAUACACCUCCAUCAACUGUCAUGGCUAAUUGGAAAUAUCGAAAGUGAACGCCAUGCAGCAGAGGCGAAUGGUUCUGCUGCCCUUAUAACUUAAAUUAGAGGCGGAUAAAUGGGUAAAUCUGCCCAUAAAGCCGCUAAGUGACACAUUAAAUUGCGUCCUUAAUAAGUAAUCAGAUACAGCACAUACAUUAUGUGUGUGUAAAUAUAAAAAGAUAAUUGUUAUUAGCAUCCUAAAAAUCUUAUUCUACACUAAACUUUCUAUAUUAGGAAAGAAAAAUACAUUUGUGAGGAGUAUAAAAUGAAAUUUUUGGAGUUCCAAUAAUACUUCCCUAUAAAAUAUAUAUUUAUAUAUAUGAAAGAGAGAGAAGUUUGAGAGAAAUGUGAAAGAGAGAGAGAGAACAUAGAAGAGAUUUAAAUUUAAAUUUUUAAAAAUUUAAAAUUAGAGAUAUGUUAGGAUAACAAAAGCGUGGAAAGCAAAAAAGCAACAAAAUUUGGUUUGUAUAAAAUUACAUUACUGUCCAUAAUUUUAUUUCGUGAUAAAAUAUUAAACUGUCUUUUCACUCUUUUUUAGUUGAUAAACAUGAU
RNAcentral lists this long non-coding RNA (1467 nucleotides) under Malus domestica (apple). RNAcentral's name for it is "long non-coding RNA (MDOM_LNC016368)". Lineage: Eukaryota; Viridiplantae; Streptophyta; Magnoliopsida; Rosales; Rosaceae. The record is from RNAcentral.